Molecule: ribosomal RNA, 484 nt
Filed under: uncultured bacterium
Lineage: Bacteria
Description: partial 16S ribosomal RNA
Rfam family: Bacterial small subunit ribosomal RNA
Source: RNAcentral
AUUGAACGCUGGCGGCAGGCCUAACACAUGCAAGUCGAGCGGAUGAAGGGAGCUUUCUCCUGGAUUCAGCGGCGGACGGGUGAGUAAUGCCUAGGAAUCUGCCUGGUAUUUGGGGAUAACGUCCGGAAACGGGCGCUAAUACCGCAUACGUCCUGAGGUAGAAAGUGGGGGAUCUUCGGACCUCACGCUAUCAGAUGAGCCUAGGUCGGAUUAGCUAGUUGGUGGGGUAAAGGCCUACCAAGGCGACGAUCCGUAACUGGUCUGAGAGGAUGAUCAGUCACACUGGAACUGAGACACGGUCCAGACUCCUACGGGAGGCAGCAGUGGGGAAUCUUGGACAAUGGGCGAAAGCCUGAUCCAGCCAUGCCGCGUGUGUGAAGAAGGUCUUCGGAUUGUAAAGCUCUUUAAGUUGGGAGGAAGGGCAGUAAGUUAAUCCCUUGCUGUUUUGACGUUACCAACAGAAUAAGCCCCGGCUAACUUCGUG